This is a small nucleolar RNA of Nycticebus coucang (slow loris), 104 nucleotides long. RefSeq annotates it as small nucleolar RNA U13. The record is from RefSeq and is a predicted model, not a curated record. The transcript has a single exon. NCBI's taxonomy places the organism in Eukaryota, Metazoa, Chordata, Mammalia, Primates, Lorisidae.
AUCCUUUUGUACUUCAUAAACGUGAUGACUGGAUUUUCAUGUGCAUGCGUGAGAUAUGUCUCCCACAAAUCUUGUUAUGACAUCAGCAGAUUACCUGUCUGACA